Molecule: ribosomal RNA, 486 nt
Filed under: uncultured bacterium
Lineage: Bacteria
Description: partial 16S ribosomal RNA
Rfam family: Bacterial small subunit ribosomal RNA
Source: RNAcentral
GACGAACGCUGGCGGCGUGCUUAACACAUGCAAGUCGAACGAUGAAGCCGGAGCUUGCUCUGGUGAAUUAGUGGCGAACGGGUGAGUAACACGUGAGUAACCUGCCCUUGACUCUGGGAUAACUGCGGGAAACUGUAGCUAAUACCGGAUACGACCCUCGGAGGCAUCUCCUGGGGGUGGAAAGAAUUUCGGUCAAGGAUGGACUCGCGGCCUAUCAGCUAGUUGGUGAGGUAAAGGCUCACCAAGGCGACGCCGGGUAGCCGGCCUGAGAGGGUGACCGGCCACACUGGGACUGAGACACGGCCCAGACUCCUACGGGAGGCAGCAGUGGGGAAUAUUGCGCAAUGGGCGAAAGCCUGACGCAGCAACGCCGCGUGCGGGAUGACGGCCUUCGGGUUGUAAACCGCUUUCAGCAGGGAAGAAGCCGCAAGAUGACGGUACCUGCAGAAGAAGCACCGGCUAACUACGUGCCAGCAGCCGCCGUAA